CCUCAAGAGUGCUUGAAUUAGUUAGGUAUUUUGUAAUUCCUGCUUGUUUGGCAUAGGUGUGUAAAAAGAUAUAAAGGUGUAUAAAACAAAGAUAAGUACCCGGAAAGAUUCAGAUGAUGGACCUGCAGCCUACCUCAGCUACAAAUGCAAAAGGGCACAAUGGGCCAGGGCCACUCAGGAGCUUGCCCUUAUCUGAACAAGCCAGAACGGACUGGUACCAACCACAAAAGAAGAAAGUUUAUGGACCAGCCUGCUCUUGAUGCACAAAAAGGUGUACAUAUACAUCAGGAUUAGCUGUUGGAGACUUGUAAUAGAUGUAGAGAGUUUUUCAGGCAUCUUACCUUCAGGGGAAGCAAUUUGGGGAUUCUAGACUUCAGUUUGGUAAGUGUGGGGCUCCUGAACAUCUGCUCUAAAAUGUCUAUUGGAUAUUACAAAAUUGUUUUAUUUAGAGACAAUUUCUGUGAAGGGGGUAAAGAAUACCAGAAGCCAACCAUCUGAAACAGUGGUACUUUUCUGCAAUUCAUUGCUGUGCGUCAGGUGCCCUGUGGCUCUUUUGAGGAAACAAAAGAAAUUGAUGGCAGCUGGGAUGUUGCUGCUCACAAUUGCACAAUGAACUGUUGCCAGAGAAAAGUAAACAGCUCUCACUUGUGCACACCCUGGAGAGAAGUUUUGUUGGUCAUUGCAUGAUGCUGGAUAUCAAGUUGCAGCUGGAGUAUUGUUACUGCUGUUCAUUUUCCAAUUUUUUUACCCAGCUGUUCACUAAAUUAACCUUAAUAGAGUUAAACUGUGAGUCCUGCCAGAGGAUGGUGCAGAUGCUUGUAUUGAUUUGAGAGAUCUGGAACAGAUUCAUAGGAAAAAUUUGUACCCUGGGCUCUGAGAUACAAAGCUAGUAACUUAAGAUCAGGACUGUUUGAACCAUUCUUAAAGCUUGUCCCAUUUGGUCACACUGAGAAACAUGGUGCUGGGCUGUAUGGGGCUCUGACCAGUUCCAAUGCAGCUGCUCUUAUUUUACAUCCUCCUCUCCCCUAAAAAGCCUGCUGCCUUCCUGUCUCACAGUGAGCAAAGUGUGAAACAGCCCCCAAGACCAGCACGCUGCUUGGUGGUUGCCAAAUGGUGUCUGCAAUGUGUCACCUCACAGCUGAGGUGCACCAGCAGGUAUCUGUUUGGGGAUCCCAGGAUCUUUAAGAUCCAUCAGUAAAAUAUCUCUAGGCCCAUAUUAGAUUGUAGGACAGCCACUGUGUGACCCUAGAUACCCGAAAUUUAUCUGCAUGCCCGUUUGAUCUGUAAUGUCAAAACUGAAGUAAAUACCCAAAACCAGCACUUUGAAGAGAGAACUCAUUCCCUUCUCACUGUCUCUUGUAUUCUAUUUAGUUAAUGCUCUUUGUAUUUCCAGUGAACCUGGGAUGAUUUUAGUUGGGUUAGUUAGAGUUUUGAUGUCUUCAGAAUUUAUGAGGCACUCAGCUUUAGACCACAAAAAGAAAAUAAGUCAAAACCAGUCACAAAGCUGUCAGUUCACAGCUCAUUCCAUCUCAUCCAUCUUUCACUUCUCAUUUAUUUUUGUGGUAGUAUUUCCCACAGCAGAAAUCCCCAGUCUGAGUGCAUGGUUUAGGUACCUCUCCUAUUCAAGCUAUCACAGAUUCACCCCAAACCCCACUCAGACAAAACCAUGAUGGGAAUGGCACCUGCAGAGUAACCACUGAGCUUGCAGGCAGCUGUGUGAAGCAUCCCAGUGCUCUCAUGGGAGCAUCCUGUAUCUGUAAAGCUCUGGACACCCACGUCAGUGCUUCUGCCUACAGGUUGUACAGGCUAAGAAACACUGGUGUAUUUAUUGACAAGUGUAAAGGGGACAUAACUCAAAAUCCCCUGAUUUUGUGGGAUAUGUAGUAGGACCCAGCUAGCACUUUUCAAGUAAAUGUUAUUCUGACGCAUAAACAAAUUUGACUCCUCUUUCAGCCCUCCAUAUGGCUUUCCUUAGUGUACAGAAACAUCCUCUUCCUUCAUCUGAGCUGUGUACAGCCUCACAUGCAUUGCACAGCAAGGCUGCACCUUCAGGUCUAGAGAAGAGCUGCCCUCUGGAGAAACACUGCUGGCCAUCUCCCCUGCUCCAGAAGAAGGGGGUCCUGCCCCAGAGCCUCCACCUACUAUCAGCACAUGGUUUGAAGGUGCAGUGCUUCCCACACCAAGAAGAAGGCAAGGUGUGCAAGGGUCUCUGAGGCCACCAGCAAGACAGGACGAGGUUGAUGAACUCUGAAAAGAUAAGAGUGUCUUUUGGUGGGCACUUGGCCUUCAGCCAGAGUCAGCUGGACACAAUCUCUUUAUAAAGCUCAAGCUUGUGGGUGUGAUUAGAUGAGACCUCCGAACAUGAGCUCUAUACAAGGGCUGGUGAGAGGGGAAAGAGACUUUCCUAUUUAACUCAAUGACAGGUUCCAGUACUCUCUGAGGACAUUGGAAACUGGCUUUGAUUGCCAGCACUCCAGCUAAAUUAAACAGUGUUUUACGAUACUUAGGAUUAGGCUUCCUCACCCAGGAGAGUGUGAUGCUCCUGAGUACAGCACAUCACCUUCCUGGGUGAGCCAGCCCACCACACCAUGUGAAAUGAAACACUUCUGCGAUGAGGACUGGAAAAGAUGCUCUGCCAGAGACUACUGUAACAGCAGGUGGGAGGUACUGUUCUCACUGAGCAGCCUCAGGAAGCGAACUGUGACCACCCACUCCAUUGGGGAUGAGCUGUAAAUACCAGGUUUUGGCCAAAAAAGAUAAUUCCUAUCUCCUUGCUAAACAGCUGUUGAUUUAGUAGGAUAAGGGCAAGUGUAGGAUUCCAGAAGCAGCUUGUCCUUGUGUACAACAAAAUCCCAUCCUAUACAGCCUCACAGUGUUCACAGGAAAACUAGCAGUGUUUACUUACCACCCUUCAUCGCAGGAAACUAUGCAUGAAUGCAAGCACGGGAAGCUGCAUUUUAAAUGUUAAAAUAUGCUUUAAAAGCUCUGUAUCAACUAUACUUUUUCAAACUAGAAGAAAACCAACAAGAAUAAUACAAUGCAAGAAAAAAUUAAAUUACAUUUUUCUCUUUUCCCUUCAUAAAUCACACUCUUCUGAAGUCCAGCAGUAAUACAUUAAAAUGUUUUUCACCAGUGGCAUUUUGCACAUCAGGAAGAGAUCAUAAUUUUAUUCUGAAUUGGCAUUUGCAUAUUCAGUUAGUGAAAUCUAUUUCCUCUCAUGAUUAAGCAUGCUGUAUAAUUGAUAUUCUUCUUCCCUGUAGUGUGACACAGCAUGUGACUCAAAACUUGCCUUCAUAAAGAUUCUCAUGAAUGCUAAAGAACAGCACAUGCAGAAAAAUAUGUUGCAUUCCCAUAUGCUCAGGCUGGAGGAAAAUAGCUGUAGUGCUCCCUAACUUAGUUUUUUUCAGAGGACUUUUUUCAGAGGACUGGGUGGUAGCUUUGAUCUGAGACAGAAAUAUUUGCCAUGAAAUACCAAGAAAGUUGUCUCCACUUGUAACUUUGAGAGUUUGAAGAAUGUUGAGGAAAGUGACCUGAUCAGGCUGAGUAUGUGUCAGUUUCUUGUAAGGACAGCAGCUCCAAAGACUGUUUUAGGCUUCUUUUUCAUGGUUUUUGUUGGGAGUGGUUUUUAAAUACUGAAUUUGCUUUAGGAAAUGAGCCAAACUUAUACUUAGAGAGUUGCUCCAAAAGUGCACAGCCAUCCCCGUGAGGUUUUUGCCCUGUACAGAAUAUGGAAAACAAGAGCAGAGCGCUCUAUUUCAUCAAGCAUUUAGAGAGGUAUCACAUGCCCAGCCGCCUUCUCCCUGAAUCUUCCACCCUAACCCAGACUCUUCAAACUUUUGCUAAUUGAAAAGUAAGCCCCUGGCAAGUAUAAAAUUUUAAUAAUAACCCACCUGAGACGUCCAGUGAAGAAGAAAAGUUUCUAAAGAAAUUGAAUCUGAGGAAAGGAUAAUUGCUGAAGCAACCCCUGGAGUAGGUGAAAACUUUUGCAAACCAGGACCCAGGUGCUGACCCAGGCUUGGAAGCAACUCUGCAGUGCAAUGCAUUCUUCACAGGCCUGUGCCUACCAGCCCUCAAUGUCAGCUGUAUGUGUUUCUCCACUUUUUAGCAAGCCUUAAUUUCUUAUUCAGAUCAAUUUCUCUAAUUCUAAAAUGAUUCAUAAUACCAGGCAAUGUCAUUAUAUUACAAGACAGCUUAAUUUACAAGUUCAUUCCAUGCCAAGAGCAAGGCAGCAGAAUCCCUAAUUCUAAAUAAGAUCUAUUUUAUGCCAAAUAUCCUUGCCAAAGCACUCUAAUGAGCUGGCACCAAAUGGUUUCACAGGAACAUCCUACUUGUCAGCAGUGUUUUGUGUUUUCCAGGCAUUACUGGUGCUGUAUGCCAACUCUUCUUCUUCCUGCAUGUGAUUGUCAGUUUGUGCUACCCUUCUCCAAGUAGUAAGCAUGUGAAUUUCCUCUCUCAGCCACUACACACAUUUAAAAAGCAGGUCACUUCAGUAUAUUGUACUUCAGCUUUGUUAUGUCUGGAAAUAUUUAACACUACUAUUAAAUAUUUAUAUAUUGAAGCAGUUCUGUGACUGAUAGACAAAGUGGUCAGUGUUGGAGUCUGAAUCAUAAAUACCAAAAUAACACCUCUCAUUCCUACACAGACAGGAGAAAAUGUGGGAUUCAAUUGCUUCAGGUGCUUACAUUAAUUAUCCUGAAGACUGCUUAGCCCAAAUGCUCUUUGCCUGUGAAAAAGACACUUACUGGCCUAGUAGGAGCUGAGAAUAGAAUAUUUUAAAGCCUCUCUUGAUAAGUAUUUUCCUCUAAGGAGGGACCAAAAAAUUAAACCAAAACACUGUUUUAUCUCUUUUAUUUAGUCAUAGUCAGACAAAUUCUAAACUAGUUUCUUACAAAACUGCCAUCAGAAGAAAUUUUCCCUAAGAAGUAACAGAAUAAACUCCAGAAGAAUCCCAGUGUCUCUCCCCAUUGCCAGCAAAUACAACACAUCCCUGUGGUAGCAAAACACACAUCCCAGUGUUUUAACAUUACAGGUAUUGUUACUCAUGAGUAGUUGCACACAGUAAUUGGUAUGUUUUGUACCGUAUUGCCAUCCACAAACAUUGGCAGCUGAGUAUUACAAAGCAUUUUAAAAGGAGAAACAAGGAGCGAGAAAUCAUUUAUUUGGAUGAAGGGAGGAUGUGUUUCCUCACACCUGCCCCAACUGAAGAACUUCCUACUGGGACAGAUCAUGUCUCUAGAGGUACAAUAAAAAGCCAGCAAAGCUGGGGAAGCAGCACACCAGUACUUGGCUCCUAAGCUCUGUGAAAGGCAGGCACUCACACCACCCAGAAACCUGCUACUUCUGCUCAUCAGCCAGCACUUGGGCCUGAGCAAGUUACUUGCUGGCUGGGGGUGGAACUGGCUUCUGCUGAUGUAAAGAAAAUUCAGUUAAUGCAGGUAGAACAUGAUAUGAUUUCAAAAGGGUGGAAGCAAUUAAAGAACCUUAUUUACUCCUCCUUGUGGUUCUGUUGUGUCUGUGUUUUAGUAGAGUCCCUUACUCCAGAUCAUUGCUUUGUGCAGUGAUGUUCGUCAGCACUAAUGCCCUUUGCUGUAAAGCACCUACUUCUUCCCUCAGCUUCAUUAAUUGCUAUAAUGGACAACUUUCCCUCUGAAGAUCCACCUUGUCUUUCACUUCCCUGCUCAACAAAGCCUUGUACUGAAUGGCUGAUGAACUCAUGUCUAAUUAGCUGCAAGGCAAGGAUGAAGUAUGAAUUUAGAAAACCAAAAGGCAAGUUGUAAGGUUGGAGACUUCUAUUUAACAGACUUUAGUGUCAAGAUUUUAUCCUUGAAGGCACAGAGGUAGAAAUUGUGAGUAACCAGAAGGCUGCUCUCUCCAGAAGAACUUUAUGCAGUUUCUGAUCAAGGUCUCUCAUAUCUCUGCUAUGAUGGAAAGGGGUUAUUUUUAAUAAUUAAUAAUUUAAAAUAAAUUUCAAUGAAGCUGCAGCAGUGCUGUCUUCAUGCUUUCUGUAAUUCUGAAUGGCCAGCCUAAGAACAGCUGGUGAGAAUUUUUUGUGAAUCUACUACAAAACACUGCUAGUCUUGCUUUAACAAAAUAUAAGAAAAAUGAAGAAAGAGGUCUGUUUUCUUGCAGAUUGGAAGACAAUUUAUAUUCCUGUGAUUUAUUAAGCUUGUGGCUUUGAUGGGGGUUUUUUAUGCUUUAAUAUUUUAUGCACAUUGCUAUUAAAUGUCAUGAAUAUUGCUAUGAAACAUAAUGAAUAUUAUAAAAUAUGGGGUCUGAACAAUUCAUGAAAUGCAGCAUACAAUUUCAUGACAACUGGGCAUGUGUUGUCUUGGAGUAUGCCCAACUUAGAACAUAUUUCACUGAGAUCUUAAUUAUUUUCAUUAUACACUGGCAUCUAUAUUUUAUGAAAACCUCAGGGAGUCUUUUUAAAAUACUUUAGAUAUUUCAUGAAAAUUGCUGAAUAUGAGAGGAGAACUUCUUUGGCUGAAAGUUAUGUUUUCACAGAACUUUUUUUAAUUAUAUAGAUGAAAAAUACUUCUUCAUUUUAGAAAAUGAAGCAGUGAUACUCACUCAUCUUGUUUUUCCACGUCUUUUUGUUUAUGGUGAGAUUUUCUUUGGUUGUAACAUGGAUAACCCCUCAUCUUUCUCUUUCCUACCUUGCAAGGUCCUGAAAACAACCUUGAAAACACUCUGCUGUGGACAGGGAUGCCUCUCACUAGACCAGCUUGCUCAAUGAUCCAUCCAGCCUGGCCUUGAACACUGCCAGGGAUGAGGCAUCCACAACUACUCUGGGAAACAUUUUCCAGUGUCUCAGCACCCUCACAGUAAAGAAUUUUGUUCACAUAUUUCUAACCUUAAUUUCUCCUCUUUCAGUGGGGACCCAUUAUUCCUUGUCCUAUUACUUCAGUGCCUGAUGAAGAGUCCUUCUCUGGCUUCCCUGUAGGUCUCCUUCAGGUAUUGGAAGGUUGCUAUGAGGUGUCCAUGCAACCUUCUCCAGACUGAGCAGUCCUAACUUUCUUAGCCUGUCCCCAUAGGACAGUUGCCCAAUUCCUUAUCAACUUCGUGGCCCACCUCUGGACUUCAGCUACUUACUAUAUGUUGUUCAAUCAUUUCCUCCUUUGAUUCUUCUCUCAUUCUUGUUCAGAAUUGCAAAGAAGGAGAAAAAUGUGCUUGACAGCACAAAUGGCUCAUGUUGUAUUACUGUGAAAAGCAGGCAGACUAACAUGAACUUUGUAUUUGGAUGACUAAAAGAUGCAGUGUCCCACACCCUUCAGUUAAGAGAAGUUUGCAUCUUUUUUUGCAUCAUUUCCUAGACUGGAAACAAAAUUUGUUUCCCCACUUUGUUUUCCACUAGUAUGCCACCAUGUGAUCAGGAGUCCUCUCUGUGUGCUCCCAUGGCGUAUGGCCAGCAGGGGCAGGUGGAUGAUUUUUUGUGGUGGGCCAUUGAUCAAGGAGAGCUGACCGUCAGCAGAAACAGUUCCCAUCACUUCAGCAGGAAAGGGAAGGAGAGCUUGCAGAGGAUGUUGGCAGGGGAAUGCUUGGGAAGGCCAUGGAAGAAAUGUCAUGCUUUGAAUGCCUGCAGGAAGUAAGCUAACAAUUGCUUGGUGGUUUCCACUUGCAGACUGUAUCCAGUGUUAAAAAGCACAGAUGUACUUGUUCAAGAAGGCAAAUGGAAACUCAGUGAGACACAGGCAGAUUGAUUCCCUCACAGAAUGCUGCUGGCAUGAAAGGGUACAUCUCGAUGUAGCAAAGCAGAUGAGAAGGGAAUGCUGCCUGGCAGUGUUACAGGUGUACCUUCAGUGUAUCCUGCUGAUAGGUACAAAGUUCAUUCACCAGUUAUAAUAACCCCUGUAGGAUUCCCUUGUAGAAUUACUUUGCUAGGCAAUUAAAUGCUCUAUCACUCUGGCACAACUCUGACUCAUCUGUCAUAUGUGGCAUCUCAACAACCUAAUGAAAAAAGUGAAUCAAACUGCUUUGAAUGAUGCUUUGCUUCUAGACUGGUCCAUAAAAUUGCUUCACUGUAAGGUUCUAUAACCCUAAAUCUAGCAAGCGGCACACUAAUAAUGCUCUCAGGGUAGAUAUGUUGGCUGCCAAUGCAGUCUGAUCUUGGACCUCUCUCUCAUCAGCCCUGUGCACAAGAAGCUGUCCUCAGUUCUGAGGGCCUGGCUUUGUCAGCAGCUGAGAGAGGCUCACUGUGGGCUGCUCUCUGAUGAAAUGCCACCCAGUUUGUCACAACAACAAUGAAAGUGCUGCUGGACAUCUGGGCUCUGCCCAGCUUCCUAUGGCAAUGACACUUAGUAAUGCUGUGUAUGUUCUCAGUAAUCAAUAUAAAAAUUGUUUCAUGUCAAGUUAGAGAUGGUAGGUUCCUACAGGUUUCACAAAAGUAUGCAGAGGAGAUGGAGGGGGACCUUUCAUAAGCACCCCUAGUGAAUGAAAGGCCAAACACACAUCAGGUGCUGGUUAUCGCAUAGAGGAGAAAAUACAUCCUGAAUAUCCUAUUGCCAUAGUGUAAAACAUGGCUAGUGUUAUCAAAUCAUCAGAGGGUCCAGCUAGGAGAUUCAAAUCUGCAGGUAACUAAUUUCUUUUUGGUUUUGCUAUUCAUGAAACCUGCUAUUUUUCUGCUUUUAUUUUUCUUUAGAUAUUCUACAAUUUUCUUUUACCUUGCUGGUUAAUAAAAUGGGCUAACUCCCUUGGUUCGUGUACCCCUUCAUGGGAUACUUCACAAGUCCAGUUGGAACCUUCCCAACUUCUCCAAAGUCACAGAAGUCUGACCUUUGCUGGCUGACACAGUGCUGGAACACCACUGUUCCUGCUGAAGCCAGUGAUACGCAGGUUUGCCAUGUAAACAAAACUGGUUUCUAGUCUGUGAAAAAAGGACAGUAGGAGCUUUAUAAUGUCAAGGUGAGAGCCAUGCAACAUAGCUUCAGAAACUAUUCCACCUGGACCAGGCAGAAAUCUCCAGAGCAAGAGCAGGGAGCAUACAGAAGGUGGCCAUUGAGUAGCCACAAUAGUUACCUGAGUAAUUUACACUGAGAAAAUUUAAAAUAAAAUACUCUGGUGCUACAAUAAUGUUUCUUUUUAGCGAAGUUAAAUAGCCACUAAGCAUAUGAUAGAUUGACAAGAAAAAUAUGAUAUAUCCUUUGUAAAUCUGUUUUCUUAACAUUAUUUGUUCUCUGAAAGAACAGAGGAUCACAAUUUUGCUGCACUAUGGUGAUAACUUUGCAUGUUAAAAAUGAAGUAUGUGCAUCUAAGGCUUGGAUAAAAAGUGACUGAGAUGAUUUUCUUGAUUAGUAUCAUCAUAGAUGGACAUCUAUGUCACAGGAACUGUUAAAUGCAGUUAAAGAUUCUGGAGUUCUUUUGUAAAAAGUCUUCCAUUUUCUACCAAAAGUGCAAACAUAUAUAUAUUUUUUUAUAUUAACAGCUAAUUCUUAAUACUGUAACGGUGCUACAAAUAAAAGUGAAAUAAAA
Long non-coding RNA from Cyanistes caeruleus (blue tit), 9468 nucleotides. RefSeq lists it as uncharacterized. The record is from RefSeq and is a predicted model, not a curated record. Lineage: Eukaryota; Metazoa; Chordata; Aves; Passeriformes; Paridae.